Molecule: ribosomal RNA, 429 nt
Filed under: Bacillota bacterium
Lineage: Bacteria; Bacillati; Bacillota
Description: Firmicutes bacterium partial 16S ribosomal RNA
Rfam family: Bacterial small subunit ribosomal RNA
Source: RNAcentral
UAGGGAAUCUUCGGCAAUGGUCGGAAGUCUGACCGAGCAACGCCGCGUGAGUGAAGAAGGUUUUCGGAUCGUAAAGCUCUGUUGUUAGAGAAGAACGUUGGUAGGAGUGGAAAAUCUACCAAGUGACGGUAACUAACCAGAAAGGGACGGCUAACUACGUGCCAGCAGCCGCGGUAAUACGUAGGUCCCGAGCGUUGUCCGGAUUUAUUGGGCGUAAAGCGAGCGCAGGCGGUUCUUUAAGUCUGAAGUUAAAGGCAGUGGCUUAACCAUUGUACGCUUUGGAAACUGGAGGAAUUGAGUGCAGAAGGGGAGAGUGGAAUUCCAUGUGUAGCGGUGAGAUGCGUAGAUAUAUGGAGGAACACCGGUGGCGAAAGCGGCUCUCUGGUCUGUAACUGACGCUGAGGCUCGAAAGCGUGGGGAGCAAACAGG